GGGGUUGUAGCUCAGUGGUGGAGCAUUUGCCUAGCAUGCAGAAAGACCUAGGUUUAAUCCCA
This 62-nucleotide transfer RNA is filed under the name Fukomys damarensis (Damara mole-rat). It matches the Rfam family "tRNA", at positions 1 to 62 of the family's 71-position model. Rfam says of the family: Transfer RNA (tRNA) molecules are approximately 80 nucleotides in length. Their secondary structure includes four short double-helical elements and three loops (D, anti-codon, and T loops). Lineage: Eukaryota; Metazoa; Chordata; Mammalia; Rodentia; Bathyergidae. The record is from Rfam by way of RNAcentral.